GGGCCCGUCGGCUAGCCAGGAUAGGCCCCCAGCCUCCGGAGCUGGUGUCGCGUGGGUUCGAAUCCCACCGGGCCCG
This 76-nucleotide transfer RNA is filed under the name Nitrososphaeria archaeon. Its description in RNAcentral is "tRNA-Arg". It matches the Rfam family "tRNA". Rfam says of the family: Transfer RNA (tRNA) molecules are approximately 80 nucleotides in length. Lineage: Archaea; Thermoproteati; Nitrososphaerota; Nitrososphaeria. The record is from RNAcentral. RNAcentral also lists the same sequence under 1 other name.